CCCUCUCUUCUUCCCAUAAUCCCGUCAUUUCAUUUUCAAUUUGACCAUUUCCUUUUUCAAAACUUUUCCUUCCGAACCGUUCCAUUUUCUUAUUGUUUUGAAGCUUUCUUCCUUCCGUUCUUCCUCUCCUGGUUCUUUCUAGUCUGGUUCACAUAGCUAAUCGUAUCUUCUUUGUUUUUCAGCGUACUCAGGCCCUCAGGGAGCUCCAUUUCCAGGCAUACCUCCUCUUUUUUGUUUUUUGUUCUUUUUCCCGUUAUCUUCUUUGUUCUUUGUUCUUUUUCAUUUUUUUGAUUGAACUGUGUUUCAGUGUUUCUGUUGAUUUUUGUUUAGAGGAGAUGAUUUUUUUUUUAAUUUGCUGUUAACGGGAAAUAACGGGAAUAGCGGCCCGUUAUUGCCGCAAUUGGCCGUUACCCGUUAAAUUGCGGCCGUGAUCCACCGCUAUCGGUGUGACUCCGCUUCUCACCGCUAUUUUCAGCAAUUGCAGUUUCGGACGACGCCGCUACCGCUAUAUAACGGCCGCUAUUUCGGUAACGGACCGUUAUUUAAAUCCCUGGA
Molecule: long non-coding RNA, 555 nt
Filed under: Gossypium barbadense (sea-island cotton)
Lineage: Eukaryota; Viridiplantae; Streptophyta; Magnoliopsida; Malvales; Malvaceae
Description: long non-coding RNA (GBAR_LNC022659)
Source: RNAcentral